UACAGACGGUCCAAACGUUAUUCGGAAUUACUGGGCUUAAAGAGUUCGUAGGCGGUCAAGAAAGUGGGGUGUGAAAUCCCCGGGCCUAACCUGGGAACUGCAUUUGUGACUGCAUAGCUAGAGUCUGUCAGAGGGGGGUGGAAUUCCACGUGUAGCAGUGAAAUGCGUAGAGAUGUGGAGGAACACCGAUGGCGAAGGCAGCCCCCUGGGAUAAGACUGACGCUCAUGUACGAAAGCGUGGGGAGCAAACAGG
This 253-nucleotide ribosomal RNA is filed under the name uncultured prokaryote. RNAcentral's name for it is "partial 16S ribosomal RNA". It matches the Rfam family "Bacterial small subunit ribosomal RNA", at positions 524 to 776 of the family's 1533-position model. The record is from RNAcentral.